AACGAACGCUGGCGGCAUGCCUAACACAUGCCAGUCGAACGAGACCUUCGGGUCUAGUGGCGCACGGGUGCGUAACGCGUGGGAACCUGCCCUUAGGUUCGGAAUAACUCCCCGACAGGGGUGCUAAUACCGGAUAAUGUCUUCGGACCAAAGAUUUAUCGCCUUUGGAUGGGCCCGCGUUGGAUUAGCUAGUUGGUAGGGUAAAAGCCUACCAAGGCGACGAUCCAUAGCUGGUCUGAGAGGAUGAUCAGCCACACUGGGACUGAGACACGGCCCAGACUCCUACGGGAGGCAGCAGUGGGGAAUAUUGGACAAUGGGCGAAAGCCUGAUCCAGCAAUGCCGCGUGAGUGAUGAAGGCCUUAGGGUUGUAAAGCUCUUUUACCCGGGAUGAUAAUGACAGUACCGGGAGAAUAAGCUCCGGCUAACUCCGUG
Molecule: ribosomal RNA, 433 nt
Filed under: uncultured bacterium
Lineage: Bacteria
Description: partial 16S ribosomal RNA
Rfam family: Bacterial small subunit ribosomal RNA
Source: RNAcentral